RNAcentral lists this long non-coding RNA (1277 nucleotides) under Astyanax mexicanus (Mexican tetra). RNAcentral's name for it is "lncRNA (ENSAMXG00005024340.1)". The record is from RNAcentral. Lineage: Eukaryota; Metazoa; Chordata; Actinopteri; Characiformes; Acestrorhamphidae.
GUGCACCACAAAUGCAGGUGCAAACAUCAGACUACUUUUUUAUUUUGUCUCUAGGUCUGUCUAAAAAGAAACCAAGUUCAAGACAAGUCCUUUUGCACAAUCGACUGGUUUAUCAACAGGUUGCUGCAGUCUUAUAAUGGUUUUAUCAAUAAUCAUAUAUUAUAAUAGGACUUUAAUAUAGAAUUCAAUAGCCUGUUAUAAGUCAAAAUGUGAGGAUGUGGUUGAUGAAGAAAAUCUGGAUUUGACUUGAAAGGCCUUAACUGAGCUGGCACCACCUCCACCUUCACCUCCACCAGUGUGUGCACUCCUGUAACAUAGCUGUAACAUGUCCUACAACUUAUAUGUCCUACAUAUUCAACUGUUCAACAAAAACAAAAGCCAACAAGGUCAUUUCAUUUUCGUAAAAACACCCAGAUCUUCAUCAGUCUCUUGUUUACUGCUGCUUAAAUUCUCCUUGUUUAAAAAGCAUCAACAAUAAAAAAAUGUGUACAUAUUUCCAUCAUCAUAUCGUAUCAAAACGUUCAAAUCGAGGAACGGGUUGCACACAAAGGUUUCCUGAAGCACACUUUGAUUAUGAUAAUGAUGAUGGUUUGGAUAAUGUGAGAUCUGUAGUUUUAUAACCCUUAAAUACUCAAAAUUCUAUUGCAUAUUAUACAUUAUUUAUUUAUUUAUAUGAUGAAAAAAAAAACACUCAGACCAAGGCACUUCACACCAAGACUUUAAGGCAGAUGCUUGGAUGGAUUUCACUGUUGAUUUCCUGAGGACGAGGCGUCUUAUCUGACCUGGAACUCAAAGUUUUUGAUGGAAGAUCUGGGCCGAGAAGAAAACGGAGAAAAGCAGAAGGAAUUCAGCUGAUGGGGCGAUGCUGUGCAGGGGAGAGCUUUUUCAGCACACCAGUGCAAAAUGCUGGUCCUCAGAGGGUGCAAGACAUCUUCAAGAGGAGCACAAAGAGCAAAGAUCCCACGGGGAAAGGAGACGUUAGGGACGCUUGGCCAUCACAGCAGACUCUUCAGACCCAUUUAUCACCCAUUUAGAUUUAUACCUGUGCCUUCGAUCAAGCCCCUCUAGGAACACCUGGAUUUAAAACAAACACUCGCAAGUUGUAAAGAAGACACUCACUCAUACAUGGCCCAUAAUAUAUACUAUUGAAUUUGAAUUUGAAUUUGAAUUUAUUGAAAGGAUAGCCCCUUGAGAUGUGACAUCUCAUUUUCAAGGGGGUCCUAUAAAUACAUACACAAAAAAAAAAAGCAAAAAAAAAAAAAAAAAAAAAAAAAAAA